GGUAGCUCAGUGGUAGAGCACUUGCUUAGAAUGCACAAGGUCCUGGGUUCUAUCCCCAGUACCA
This 64-nucleotide transfer RNA is filed under the name Rattus norvegicus (Norway rat). It matches the Rfam family "tRNA". From Rfam's summary of the family: Transfer RNA (tRNA) molecules are approximately 80 nucleotides in length. Their secondary structure includes four short double-helical elements and three loops (D, anti-codon, and T loops). Further hydrogen bonds mediate the characteristic L-shaped molecular structure. tRNAs have two regions of fundamental functional importance: the anti-codon, which is responsible for specific mRNA codon recognition, and the 3' end, to which the tRNAs corresponding amino acid is attached (by aminoacyl-tRNA synthetases). tRNAs cope with the degeneracy of the genetic code in two manners: having more than one tRNA (with a specific anti-codon) for a particular amino acid; and 'wobble' base-pairing, i.e. permitting non-standard base-pairing at the 3rd anti-codon position. Lineage: Eukaryota; Metazoa; Chordata; Mammalia; Rodentia; Muridae. The record is from Rfam by way of RNAcentral.